RNAcentral lists this ribosomal RNA (301 nucleotides) under uncultured bacterium. Its description in RNAcentral is "partial 16S ribosomal RNA". It matches the Rfam family "Bacterial small subunit ribosomal RNA", at positions 509 to 807 of the family's 1533-position model. The record is from RNAcentral.
CAGCAGCCGCGGGAAUACGUAGGUGGCAAGCGCUGUCCGGAAUUAUUGGGCGUAAAGGGCUCGCAGGCGGUUUCUUAAGUCUGAUGUGAAAGCCCCCGGCUCAACCGGGGAGGGUCAUUGGAAACUGGGAAACUUGAGUGCAGAAGAGGAGAGUGGAAUUCCACGUGUAGCGGUGAAAUGCGUAGAGAUGUGGAGGAACACCAGUGGCGAAGGCGACUCUCUGGUCUGUAACUGACGCUGAGGAGCGAAAGCGUGGGGAGCGAACAGGAUUAGAUACCCCAGUAGUCCCUGUCUCUUAUAC